RNAcentral lists this ribosomal RNA (467 nucleotides) under uncultured bacterium. RNAcentral's name for it is "partial 16S ribosomal RNA". It matches the Rfam family "Bacterial small subunit ribosomal RNA", at positions 28 to 507 of the family's 1533-position model. The record is from RNAcentral.
GACGAACGCUGGCGGCGUGCUUAACACAUGCAAGUCGAACGGAAAGGCCCUGCUUUUGUGGGGUGCUCGAGUGGCGAACGGGUGAGUAACACGUGAGUAACCUGCCCUUGACUUUGGGAUAACUUCAGGAAACUGGGGCUAAUACCGGAUAGGAGCUCCUGCUGCAUGGUGGGGGUUGGAAAGUUUCGGCGGUUGGGGAUGGACUCGCGGCUUAUCAGCUUGUUGGUGGGUAGUGGCUUACCAAGGCCUUGACGGGUUGCCGGCCUGAGAGGGUGACCGGCCACAUUGGGACUGAGAUACGGCCCAGACUCCUACGGGAGGCAACAGUGGGGAAUAUUGCACAAUGGGCGGAAGCCUGAUGCAGCAACGCCGCGUGCGGGAUGACGGCCUUCGGGUUGUAAACCGCUUUCGCCUGUGACGAAGCGUGAGUGACGGUAAUGGGUAAAGAAGCACCGGCUAACUACGUG